RNAcentral lists this ribosomal RNA (527 nucleotides) under uncultured eukaryote. RNAcentral describes it as "bacterial SSU rRNA". It matches the Rfam family "Eukaryotic small subunit ribosomal RNA", at positions 21 to 549 of the family's 1831-position model. The record is from RNAcentral.
UAGUCAUAUGCUUGUCUCAAAGAAUUAGCCAUGCAAGCUUUAGUAUAAACUUCCUUAUAUCGGGAAAGUGUGAAUGGCUCACUUAAUCCGUUCUUGGUUUUUUGAAGGUAUUUAUCUGGUUCGAUAUCCGGAGUAAUUCCAGAGUUAAUAGUCGCGUACAUCCCGACUUUUGGAAGGGAUGUCUUUAUUUGAUAAAAGGCCGGCCGGGCUUUCCCGACUCGCGGUGACUCCUGAUAACUUCUCGGAUUGGAUGGCCUUGCGCCGGUGAUGUUUCAUUCAAAUUUCUGGCCUAUCCAUUUUUGAAGGUAAGAUAGAGGCCUCCCAAGGUGGGAAGGGGGGACGGAGAAUUUGGGUUUGAUUUCGGAGAGGGAGCCUGAGAAACGGCCACCACAUCCAAGGAAGGCAGCAGGCGGGCCAAUUACCCAAUCCUGAUUCAGGGGGGGAGUGACAAGAAAUAACCAAAGAAGUGUUAUUUGCAUUUUCUUAUUGGAAAGGGUAGGAUCUAAAUCUCUUUUCGACUAUCCAUU